GCGCAGAUGGUUUAGUGGUAUAAUUACCGCCUGCCACGCGGUAGACCCGGGUUCGAUUCCCGGUCUGCGUA
RNAcentral lists this transfer RNA (71 nucleotides) under Dimargaris cristalligena. It matches the Rfam family "tRNA". Rfam says of the family: Transfer RNA (tRNA) molecules are approximately 80 nucleotides in length. Their secondary structure includes four short double-helical elements and three loops (D, anti-codon, and T loops). Lineage: Eukaryota; Fungi; Kickxellomycota; Dimargaritomycetes; Dimargaritales; Dimargaritaceae. The record is from Rfam by way of RNAcentral.